This 464-nucleotide ribosomal RNA is filed under the name uncultured bacterium. RNAcentral describes it as "bacterial SSU rRNA". It matches the Rfam family "Bacterial small subunit ribosomal RNA", at positions 917 to 1382 of the family's 1533-position model. The record is from RNAcentral.
GGGCCCGCACAAGCGGCGGAGCAUGCGGAUUAAUUCGAUGCAACGCGAAGAACCUUACCAAGGCUUGACAUAUACAGGAAACGUCUGGAAACAGUCGCCCCGCAAGGUCUGUAUACAGGUGGUGCAUGGUUGUCGUCAGCUCGUGUCGUGAGAUGUUGGGUUAAGUCCCGCAACGAGCGCAACCCUCGUUCUAUGUUGCCAGCACGUAAUGGUGGGGACUCAUAGGAGACUGCCGGGGUCAACUCGGAGGAAGGUGGGGAUGAGGUCAAAUCAUCAUGCCCCUUAUGUCUUGGGCUUCACGCAUGCUACAAUGGCCGGUACAAAGGGCUGCAAUACCGUGAGGUGGAGCGAAUCCCAAAAAGCCGGUCUCAGUUCGGAUUGAGGUCUGCAACUCGACCCCAUGAAGUCGGAGUCGCUAGUAAUCGUGAAUCAGCAACGUCACGGUGAAUACGUUCCCGGGCCUU